This 262-nucleotide long non-coding RNA is filed under the name Lathyrus oleraceus (garden pea). RNAcentral describes it as "Pisum sativum (pea) long non-coding RNA (PSAT_LNC017381)". The record is from RNAcentral. Lineage: Eukaryota; Viridiplantae; Streptophyta; Magnoliopsida; Fabales; Fabaceae.
AACAACAGAGCAUUUAGAGUCUUUAAUUCCAGAACAAAAGUAAUGAUGGAAUCUAUAAAUGUUGUGGUUGUUGAUCAGCAGACUGAUGUCACAGACGAUGUUGAGACAUCCCUAAAUGAUUCUCUAGUUGAUUUCCCAGAAAAAAGUAAUGAGAAUGAACUCGCUCAAGCUGAACUUGAAGCUGACAAAAUUAAUAAGGGACCCUCUAUCAGAAUUCAGAAGGAUCAUCCUAAACAUCUCAUUAUAGGAGACCCAAAUAAAG